UGUUGUUUUCUCGAAAAUCAAUUAAAAAAAGUUGGAUUUUGUAUUGUUAAGACCUUAUCAGCUUACUGUACUCUUUUCUUGCUUUUUUUAAUGCACUUUUCGUUUAACAAGUCAACAUCAAUUUCUUUUGUUGUAAAAGAGUCAUUGGAAGGUGGCUUUCACUUCGGUGAAAGUGUUUAUAGCCUUUGGCUUCUGCAAUCGGAGAGAUUGAGGUCUGCAGCGUAGAUCCUUCGGGGUUAGAUACGUAGAUGCUAAGUUAUAGUUUUUUAUAGACAACUUGUUGACUAUAAUUAAUCAUGUAGCUUACUCGUUUGCGCUAUUUUACCUAC
Molecule: ribosomal RNA, 329 nt
Filed under: Neocallimastigales sp.
Lineage: Eukaryota; Fungi; Neocallimastigomycota; Neocallimastigomycetes; Neocallimastigales
Description: partial large subunit ribosomal RNA
Source: RNAcentral